This 500-nucleotide ribosomal RNA is filed under the name uncultured bacterium. RNAcentral describes it as "partial 16S ribosomal RNA". It matches the Rfam family "Bacterial small subunit ribosomal RNA", at positions 30 to 523 of the family's 1533-position model. The record is from RNAcentral.
AUUGAACGCUGGCGGAAUGCUUUACACAUGCAAGUCGAACGGCAGCACGGACUUCGGUCUGGUGGCGAGUGGCGAACGGGUGAGUAAUGUAUCGGAACGUGCCCAGUCGUGGGGGAUAACGUAGUGAAAAUUACGCUAAUACCGCAUACGAUCUAUGGACGAAAGCGGGGGAUCGCAAGACCUCGCGCGAUUGGAGCGGCCGAUAUCCGACUAGGGAGUUGGUGGGGUAAAGGCCCACCAAGCCAACGAUCUGUAGCUGGACUGAGAGGACGACCAGCCACACUGGAACUGAGACACGGUCCAGACUCCUACGGGAGGCAGCAGUGGGGAAUUUUGGACAAUGGGCGAAAGCCUGAUCCAGCCAUUCCGCGUGCAGGAUGAAGGCCCUCGGGUUGUAAACUGCUUUUGUACAGAACGAAAAGGUUUCUACUAAUACUAGGAGCUCAUGACGGUACUGUAAGAAUAAGCACCGGCUAACUACGUGCCAGCCGCCGCCGUAA